UGGCCUGGAACUCACUAUGUAGAGU
Molecule: non-coding RNA, 25 nt
Filed under: Cricetulus griseus (Chinese hamster)
Lineage: Eukaryota; Metazoa; Chordata; Mammalia; Rodentia; Cricetidae
Source: RNAcentral